This 847-nucleotide long non-coding RNA is filed under the name Marmota monax (woodchuck). Lineage: Eukaryota; Metazoa; Chordata; Mammalia; Rodentia; Sciuridae. The record is from RNAcentral.
CCUGUCACCAGAUAAAAAAUAAAAAGGCCUGGGGAUGCAGCUCAGUGGUAGAGCGCCUCUGGGUUCAAUCCCCAGUGCCGAAAAAUAAGUAGUAAGAGACUGAAAGUAGCAGUUUUAAGGCCCUUCUUACCAAUAUUUACCUGAAAUGAAUCCCAGGCUACCUUUUGAGGUACUCUUUCUUUUGUAAGAGAUAGUUUGGAUUUAUUUAUUAAAUCAACUUUUUGUACUUCCCUGAAAUGAUGGUGGCAAAAAAAAUACUGCUUUCUUCAAAUAUUAUAUCCCUAAUACGUUGUAUAAAUCCAGUUCAGCCAGAGGCGGUGGUGCACAUCUGUAAUCCCAACAACUUGAAAGGCUGAGAUAGGAGGAUCACAAGUUCAAAAGCAGCCUCAGCAAUUUAGCGAGAACCUGUAUCAAAAUAAAAUAUGAAAAGGGCUGGGUAUGGCUCAGUGGUUACACCCCCCUAGUUCAAUCCCUUGUUGCAAAAAAAAAAAAAAAAAAAAUCCAGUUCAGUGAAAUUAAUCAUUUUCUAGGGCCAUAUUAAAUUUGUAAAUGCUCUGUAAGAACAUUUUGUGAAGAUUUUUCUUUUAAAAAGUUCAUCUGUCUUUUAUAAAUAUCUGUCCUUUAUAAACAUAUCAGUCAGUAUGUUUACAUGCAUUUAUCCAUGUAAUUUACAUUUAUCCAUGUAAUUUAUCUGUUAUUUACAUUGAAUUGAACAGCACAGGCUUUAGAUGGAUGGAUACAAUUUACAUUCUGUCUUUACUGCACAAGAUUUAGCAAAUUACUUGUACUCCCUGAGUCUGUUUUCUGUUCUUCAAGGGUUGUAGGAAUUUUAAAAUGUAUAUGUAGC